RNAcentral lists this ribosomal RNA (380 nucleotides) under uncultured eukaryote. RNAcentral describes it as "partial 18S ribosomal RNA". It matches the Rfam family "Eukaryotic small subunit ribosomal RNA", at positions 592 to 976 of the family's 1831-position model. The record is from RNAcentral.
CAAUAGCGUAUAUUAAAGUUGUUGCAGUUAGAACGCUCGUAGUCGGAUUUCGGGGCGGGCCGACCGGUCUGCCGAUGGGUAUGCACUGGUCGGCGCGUCCUUCCUUCCGGAGACCGUCCCUACUCUUAACUGAGCGGGGGCGGGAGACGGGACUUUUACUUUGAAAAAAUCAGAGUGUUUCAAGCAGGCAGCUCGCCCUUGCAUGGAUUAGCAUGGGAUAAUGAAAUAGGACUUUGGUGCUAUUUUGUUGGUUUCGAACACCGAAGUAAUGAUGAGAAGGGACAGUCAGGGGCACUCGUAUUCCGCCGAGAGAGGUGAAAUUCUCAGACCAGCGGAAGACGAACCACUGCGAAAGCAUUUGCCAGGGAUGUUUUCACUGA